GAUGAACGCUGGCGGCGUGCCUAAUACAUGCAAGUCGAGCGAACGGACGAGAAGCUUGCUUCUCUGAUGUUAGCGGCGGACGGGUGAGUAACACGUGGAUAACCUACCUAUAAGACUGGGAUAACUUCGGGAAACCGGAGCUAAUACCGGAUAAUAUUUUGAACCGCAUGGUUCAAAAGUGAAAGACGGUCUUGCUGUCACUUAUAGAUGGAUCCGCGCUGCAUUAGCUAGUUGGUAAGGUAACGGCUUACCAAGGCAACGAUGCAUAGCCGACCUGAGAGGGUGAUAGGCCACACGGGAACUGAGACACGGUCCAGACUCCUACGGGAGGCAGCAGUAGGGAAUCUUCCGCAAUGGGCGAAAGCCUGACGGAGCAACGCCGCGUGAGUGAUGAAGGUCUUCGGAUCGUAAAACUCUGUUAUUAGGGAAGAACAUAUGUGUAAGUAACUGUGCACAUCUUGACGGUACCUAAUCAGAAAGCCACGGCUAACUACGUG
This 497-nucleotide ribosomal RNA is filed under the name uncultured bacterium. Its description in RNAcentral is "partial 16S ribosomal RNA". It matches the Rfam family "Bacterial small subunit ribosomal RNA", at positions 28 to 507 of the family's 1533-position model. The record is from RNAcentral.